Molecule: unclassified non-coding RNA, 1329 nt
Filed under: Homo sapiens (human)
Lineage: Eukaryota; Metazoa; Chordata; Mammalia; Primates; Hominidae
Description: formimidoyltransferase cyclodeaminase (ENSG00000281775.2)
Source: RNAcentral
CUUCCAUCUGCCCAGAGAGGAGCAUCUGGAUCAAGGUGCUGGCCAUGUCCCAGCUGGUGGAAUGCGUCCCCAACUUUUCGGAGGGGAAGAACCAGGAGGUGAUCGACGCCAUCUCUGGAGCCAUCACACAGACCCCGGGCUGCGUGCUGCUGGAUGUGGACGCAGGCCCUUCCACCAACCGCACCGUGUACACCUUCGUGGGGCCGCCGGAGUGCGUGGUGGAGGGGGCCCUCAACGCUGCCCGGGUAGCUUCCCGACUUAUCGACAUGAGCAGGCACCAAGGAGAGCACCCCCGCAUGGGGGCCCUAGACGUCUGCCCCUUCAUCCCCGUGAGGGGCGUCAGCGUGGAUGAGUGUGUGCUCUGCGCCCAGGCCUUUGGCCAGAGGCUGGCAGAGGAGCUGGACGUGCCAGGCCUGACCGCCGGGCUCUCCUGCAGUUUACCUGUACGGCGAGGCAGCCAGGAUGGACAGUCGCCGGACCCUGCCGGCCAUCCGGGCCGGGGAGUACGAGGCCCUCCCUAAGAAGCUCCAGCAGGCCGACUGGGCGCCCGACUUUGGUCCCAGCUCCUUUGUCCCCAGUUGGGGGGCCACGGCCACGGGGGCGAGGAAGUUCCUCAUUGCUUUUAACAUCAACCUGCUCGGCACAAAGGAGCAAGCCCACCGCAUCGCGCUCAACCUGCGGGAGCAGGGCCGCGGGAAGGACCAGCCAGGACGUCUGAAGAAAGUUCAGGGCAUUGGCUGGUACCUGGAUGAGAAGAACCUGGCUCAGGUGUCCACCAAUCUUCUGGACUUUGAGGUCACGGCACUGCACACGGUCUACGAGGAGACCUGCCGAGAAGCACAGGAGCUGAGCCUCCCAGUGGUGGGCUCACAGCUGGUGGGCCUGGUGCCCCUGAAGGCUCUGCUGGAUGCGGCCGCCUUCUACUGCGAGAAGGAGAACCUCUUCAUCCUGGAGGAGGAGCAGCGGAUCAGGCUGGUGGUGAGCCGGCUGGGCCUGGACUCCCUGUGCCCCUUCAGCCCUAAGGAGCGGAUCAUCGAGUACCUGGUCCCUGAGCGCGGGCCUGAGCGAGGCCUGGGCAGCAAGUCCCUGCGCGCCUUCGUGGGGGAGGUGGGUGCCCGCUCUGCGGCCCCCGGGGGCGGCUCGGUGGCGGCGGCCGCUGCGGCCAUGGGUGCGGCGCUGGGCUCCAUGGUGGGCCUCAUGACCUACGGGCGGCGCCAAUUCCAGUCCCUGGACACGACGAUGCGGCGCCUGAUCCCGCCCUUCCGCGAGGCUUCGGCCAAGCUAACCACGCUGGUGGAUGCCGACGCCGAGGCCUUCACCGCCUACCUG